UACAGAGGUCUCAAGCGUUGUUCGGAUUCAUUGGGCGUAAAGGGUGCGUAGGCGGCGCGGUAAGUCGGGUGUGAAAUCCCCAGGCUUAACCUGGGAACUGCAUCUGAUACUGGAUGGCUUGAAUCCGGGAGAGGGAUGCAGAAUUCCAGGUGUAGCGGUGAAAUGCGUAGAUAUCUGGAGGAAUACCGGUGGCGAAGGCGGCAUCCUGGACCGGCAUUGACGCUGAUGAGCGAAAGCUAGGGGAGCAAACGGG
RNAcentral lists this ribosomal RNA (253 nucleotides) under uncultured bacterium. Its description in RNAcentral is "partial 16S ribosomal RNA". It matches the Rfam family "Bacterial small subunit ribosomal RNA", at positions 524 to 776 of the family's 1533-position model. The record is from RNAcentral.